RNAcentral lists this ribosomal RNA (225 nucleotides) under uncultured fungus. RNAcentral describes it as "partial small subunit ribosomal RNA". The stretch from base 99 to 225 matches the Rfam family "Eukaryotic small subunit ribosomal RNA", at positions 738 to 863 of the family's 1831-position model. Lineage: Eukaryota; Fungi. The record is from RNAcentral.
GGAGGGAGCGGCCGGUCCGCGUCCUUUGGGCGCGUGUACUAGCUGUGUCUCCCACCUGCCUUGCGGGGACCGUGUCGUGCGGCUCUGCUGUCACGGCCGGGAACCGCAUCAUUUACUGUGAGAAAAUUAGAGUGUUCAAAGCAGGUCUGCGCGUCUUUGAAUACGUUAGCAUGGAAUAAUAAGAUAGGACUCUGUGCCUAUUUUGUUGGUUUGCGAGCCAGAGUA